Molecule: ribosomal RNA, 426 nt
Filed under: Megaselia sp. 9 SH-2017
Lineage: Eukaryota; Metazoa; Arthropoda; Insecta; Diptera; Phoridae
Description: partial 16S ribosomal RNA
Source: RNAcentral
UUUUAGAAUUUAAUUUAAAGUCUAACCUGCCCACUGAAUAAUUUUAAAUGGCCGCAGUAUCCUAACUGUGCAAAGGUAGCAUAAUCAUUAGUCUUUUAAUUGAAGGCUGGAAUGAAUGGUUGAAUGAAAUAUUAACUGUUUCAUAAAAAUUAUAAAUAAAAUUUUAUUUUUUAGUCAAAAAGCUAAAAUAAUUUUAAAAGACGAGAAGACCCUAUAAAUCUUUAUAUUUAAAUAAUUUUAAUUAUUUAGAUUAAUUAAAUUAUAAUUAUUUUAAAUAUUUUAUUGGGGUGAUAUUAAAAUUUAAUAAACUUUUAAUUUAUAAUUUACAUAAAUUAAUGAAUUAUUGAUCCAUAAAUUAUGAUUAAAAAUUUAAGUUACUUUAGGGAUAACAGCGUAAUUUUUUUAGAGAGUUCAUAUUGAUAAAAA